UUAACCCUUUACUACUAGACAAGUGUGUGUAACUGGUGUGUUAGAUGUACUGGUCUGGGAAGGUCAGAGAGUUAACCUUUUACCACUAGACAAGUGUGUGUAACUGGGAUGUUAGAUGUACUGGUCUGGGAAGGUCAGCGAGUUAACCCUUUACCACUAGACAAGUGUGUGUAACUGGGAUGUUAGAUGCACUGCUCUGGGAAGGUCAGAGGAGUUAACCCUUUACCAGUAGACAAGUGUGUGUAACUGGGAUGUUAGAUGCACUGGUCAUGGAAGGUCAGAGAGUUAACCCUUUACCACUAGACAAGUGUGUGUAACU
Dreissena polymorpha is the source of this 319-nucleotide long non-coding RNA. RefSeq lists it as uncharacterized. The record is from RefSeq and is a predicted model, not a curated record. Lineage: Eukaryota; Metazoa; Mollusca; Bivalvia; Myida; Dreissenidae. The transcript is spliced from 3 exons.